RNAcentral lists this ribosomal RNA (227 nucleotides) under uncultured bacterium. RNAcentral's name for it is "partial 16S ribosomal RNA". It matches the Rfam family "Bacterial small subunit ribosomal RNA", at positions 107 to 334 of the family's 1533-position model. The record is from RNAcentral.
UGAGUAACACGUAUCCAACCUGCCGUCUACUCUUGGACAGCCUUCUGAAAGGAAGAUUAAUACAAGAUGGCAUCAUGAGUCCGCAUGUUCACAUGAUUAAAGGUAUUCCGGUAGACGAUGGGGAUGCGUCCCAUUAGAUAGUAGGCGGGGUAACGGCCCACCUAGUCAACGAUGGAUAGGGGUUCUGAGAGGAAGGUCCCCCACAUUGGAACUGAGACACGGUCCAA